UAGGGAAUCUUCCGCAAUGGGCGAAAGCCUGACGGAGCAAUGCCGCGUGAGUGAAGAAGGCCUUCGGGUCGUAAAACUCUGUUAUAAGAGAAGAACAAAUUGUAGAGUAACUGCUACAGUCUUGACGGUAUCUUAUCAGAAAGCCACGGCUAACUACGUGCCAGCAGCCGCGGUAAUACGUAGGGGGCAAGCGUUGUCCGGAUUUAUUGGGCGUAAAGGGAGCGCAGGUGGUUUCUUAAGUCUGAUGUGAAAGCCCACGGCUUAACCGUGGAGGGUCAUUGGAAACUGGGAAACUUGAGUACAGAAGAGGAAUGUGGAACUCCAUGUGUAGCGGUGGAAUGCGUAGAUAUAUGGAAGAACACCAGUGGCGAAGGCGACAUUCUGGUCUGUUACUGACACUGAGGCUCGAAAGCGUGGGGAGCAAACAGG
This 429-nucleotide ribosomal RNA is filed under the name Acidobacteriota bacterium. Its description in RNAcentral is "Acidobacteria bacterium partial 16S ribosomal RNA". It matches the Rfam family "Bacterial small subunit ribosomal RNA", at positions 355 to 776 of the family's 1533-position model. Lineage: Bacteria; Pseudomonadati; Acidobacteriota. The record is from RNAcentral.